CUGAAUCCUAAAAUUGCAGAAACAAAGAACCAAAUUCUGUAUGGUGUCCCUGAUAACCAUUAUGAAAUCUAGAUGAAUAUUUUAAAUUUAUCAGGUCUGAAUUUGGUCAGAUUAUAGCAGAGUGUCGUUUUUUGUUAUCUCAAGGGCUGAAUAUUUUAGUUAGUUGGAUCCCUCAUCAUGCUAACCUUGCUACCCAUUCCUUAGCGAAAACAGCUUUGUUAUAUGCUAGGCGUACUCAUUGGGUAGUUUCACCCAGUUCUGUCUCCAAUGUUCUCUCUUCUGAUGUUUUUUCCAAGGUUUUUUCACUUAACAUCUCGGGUUCUAGGUUGGGUGUAUUUGGGUGGGUCUGCUGACCUGGGUUGGUUUGGACUAGCUUUGUUAAGUUUUCCUGAGUUCAUUAAUAUAUUUUGAUUUUCAAAAAAGGAAAAAAAACCUUCUCUCUCAGUCCCAUGUUGUGUACAAUUGAGCUUACAUUGCUUGAGAUCUAAAGAGUAUUCAAUUCCUUUUUCUUCAGAAUUGCAAGACAUUCUCCCUCAAG
Molecule: unclassified non-coding RNA, 538 nt
Filed under: Hevea brasiliensis (rubber tree)
Lineage: Eukaryota; Viridiplantae; Streptophyta; Magnoliopsida; Malpighiales; Euphorbiaceae
Source: RNAcentral